This 484-nucleotide ribosomal RNA is filed under the name uncultured bacterium. Its description in RNAcentral is "partial 16S ribosomal RNA". It matches the Rfam family "Bacterial small subunit ribosomal RNA", at positions 30 to 507 of the family's 1533-position model. The record is from RNAcentral.
ACUGAACGCUGGCGGCAGGCCUAACACAUGCAAGUCGAGCGGAUGAAGGGAGCUUGCUCCUGGAUUCAGCGGCGGACGGGUGAGUAAUGCCUAGGAAUCUGCCUGGUAGUGGGGGAUAACGUCCGGAAACGGGCGCUAAUACCGCAUACGUCCUGAGGGAGAAAGUGGGGGAUCUUCGGACCUCACGCUAUCAGAUGAGCCUAGGUCGGAUUAGCUAGUUGGUGGGGUAAAGGCCUACCAAGGCGACGAUCCGUAACUGGUCUGAGAGGAUGAUCAGUCACACUGGGACUGAGACACGGUCCAGACUCCUACGGGAGGCAGCAGUGGGGAAUAUUGGACAAUGGGCGAAAGCCUGAUCCAGCCAUGCCGCGUGUGUGAAGAAGGUCUUCGGAUUGUAAAGCACUUUAAGUUGGGAGGAAGGGCAGUAAGUUAAUACCUUGCUGUUUUGACGUUACCAACAGAAUAAGCACCGGCUAACUUCGUG